CGUAGAUUGCACAAUGGGGAAAACAACAUACACAAAUAUGACCCACAGAUAAGUCUAUCCUCCCCCCACAACCUCGAGGUCACAACCUCUUUUUAAUGGCGUCUCCAUGGCUGUACCGGAUGUAGAUCCUGCUGUUGUUAAAGCAUCCUGCAAGAUGUAUUUUGAAACUAUUAGAAGGGGUUACAGGAUGGCCCAAGAUGAAAACAAAGACAAGAUGGAGGACAGCAGGAUCACUGCGCACAUGAGAUAAAG
This is a long non-coding RNA of Micropterus dolomieu (smallmouth bass), 252 nucleotides long. RefSeq lists it as uncharacterized. The transcript has 3 exons. Lineage: Eukaryota; Metazoa; Chordata; Actinopteri; Centrarchiformes; Centrarchidae. The record is from RefSeq and is a predicted model, not a curated record.